GAGCCUUGCGCUAGGAUUCUCUUCCCUGUUUGGGGCAUGUGCUUGACCCAGAGGGGCCUGACGGAUGACGGAGUUCCCGAGGAUGUGCGGGGUGGAACAUGGGGUCACGGAGCAAGCCAGCUGGCAAAGUGGACUGGUUGGUGCCCAGGAAAGAGUACUGUGCUGUGAGUCACAUCCCCGGGUUCACAGCCCAGCCUGGAAACUGCUAGUUUCUCCACUGCUUUCCAGACCCAAGGUUCUACCAUCGGCCUCUACUCCCUCCCUGCCUCCUCCCCCUAAUAUGUGUCCGCUCCCCUCAUCUUUUCCUCCCUGUCUCCUCUUUUCCCCUCUGAGGACCGCCUGGCGCCCCGGGGCACAGGAGGCUUACACCUCCAGGUUCCAGUGCUCUGACGCCACAAGAGUUACUGACCACUUCUUCCUGGAGGACGCCCCACGGCAGGAAGCAGGGGUGAAGCCCUCGGUGAGGGAGCCGAGUGGUCAGUGUUCAGUCAAGCCCCGGGAAGGAUUUCUAAAGCAGGUCUUCUUCCCUGAAGCGCUUCAAAGGGAGAACCGCUGGGGGUGGUGGUGGGGUGGUGGGCGGCGCUUGUCCUGAGAAACUGGGGGUCCUGGAGGUUCCCGUACCAGCCCUGGGAUUCCCACGAGUUCCUUCUUUCGAAAUGAAAAUAGGGUCUCUGGGGGUUUCUAACUCAAUGUCUCCUUCCAGCAUUGCUUUCCCUCUUCAAACUCACGCCUGCCCUCGAGCUAACCAGAUAUUUACAAUAUUCAGAAUUCUAUUCACCAACAUGCAGCGCGCACGCUCUAUGGCUCAGUGGAGAGCGCUAAAUGUUCCACUCGGGGGACAAUAAAGUUCUUCAGACAGACAGGGAGAAGGAGAAGGAAAAGUCACGGCAGCUUCUCCGGGAAGCAAAAAGAGCAAAGGAAUCUUUGCGGGAGAGGUGCGUUCCCGGUGGGCUCAGACUUCAUGGGAGACCAGCUCGCCCAGCGGCGGCAGAGGGCCCGUCCUGGUGCGGUGAGAGGCGGGAAUGGCGGGGCCGGGACAGCUCCGGAGCCAGGCUGCCGCCUGUCGGAGAUCACCACCAUCACCAACCGCCUCAUCACAGCUAACAGACGGAGCUCACGGAGGCCAGAUCCCGUCCUAAGACUAUCAUCUCAUCCCAGCCUCGCAACGAUUCGAUGGAGGGCUGGUGGCUCUGAAGGGACCUGGGCUGGUGGGAACGAGGAGGAAACAGCUCACUCAUCUCGAGCACCGUGUGCCAGGACCCGUGUCACCAUCUGCCUUCACCCUGUGGGCGUGGGACCUGUCAUCAUUCCCAUUUUACAGAUGAGGAGACUGAGGCACAGGGCAGGGCCGGGGAAGCCAAGCAGCCAGCAGAAAGUGCAGUGCUCUGGACGGCUGUUCCCUGGCUUCUCUCUGAGCCAGUGGCGGGGGGACCCCGCAGGUGCCUGCCUUGCUGGUGAACGUCAAGGCCGUGGGCCGGCUGCACGCAGGGGUUGUGGUCCCUCCUGUCACGACAGGAGGCGAGGGGAAGACUGCCAGCCGAGAAGAAAGAGGCGCAGAUGUCUGGACAAACAUGGCCACGUGUCAACAAAGCGUGCACUUGAGUUCAAGACGCUGAGACAAAGGUGGCUGGCAGGCCUGCCGAAGUCCUGGGGCACCCUCUCUGCCUGUGCGUGUUCCCAGGGCCCACAAAGGCCGCAGCUGUGUCCCUGAGAUGACACCUUCAGCUCCACCCACAGGGCCUCUGGCAACGCCAAUUUGCUGCUGGCCAAGAGUGUGAUUCCAACAAAUACUCUGCUUUUCUGAAGAUGCCUCCUCAGAGGCGGGGGGAUCCCAGCCAUUAGUGACACGUGCCCCUUGCUUUACUGCACCCUCAAGGGAAGACAGGCCAGGACGGGGGAAGGCUGCCUGUGGCACGGGCUCUCGGAGGGAGCCCACGAAGACGGCGCCAUGGCCCCCUCCCCCCAGGAUCCUGACCUGCGACUGUGAGAGCAGCAACCGCGGACGCAGCCAGAAGCCCGGUCACACAGCCUCUGCCCCUGGGCUGCUGCCGCGGAGGACGAGGACCCCGGACCUACUGCACCAAGCCCACACAAGGGGCUGCCUUGCUUCAAAUAUAAAAGGUGGUUCUGUCUCCAAGGAAUGCCGUACACGUGCUUACACACAGCAGCACUUGCCUGGCCUGAGUGCACCUGAAAUCAGCAGAAAACAGAAGCCCCAGGCACCAGCAGAAGAAGAGGGGAAAGAGCUGUCCCCGCGGGUUCCCACUGGGGUGCCUGGCGGCCUCUUCUCCGAGCGCUGUCCCCUGGUUCCUCUCCACACUCUGCACAGCAUCUCCCACGCUUUCUGUCUGACCUGGAGCGGCCCGGGACACAGAACUGCCCCUUCCUCCAAACACAAGGCCCAUGGUCUUUUCUUCCAAGGACAUUGUGUAAAUUAGCAGGGCUGGGGAGAGGAGGGGAGAGAAAAUCCGAAUGGGGAGUGGGGGCCGCGCCCACGUCUGUGAAGAGGCCUUGCUGCUUCUCCCACAAAGGACCCAGAAAGGAGAGGCCGGGAGGGAGGGGCCCUGGUCUCACCUUCGCGUCCUGCUUGGUGAGGAAGUCGACGAAGCCGAACCCUCUGUGCGAGCCCAUCCCCGUCAUCUUCUUCGGCAAGCGGACUGUCUUCAGCUCCCCGAAGGUGCUGGGAAUAAAAACACGGGAGUUUCAGAAUCGAGGCCUGCAAAGGGGGCGGGGGGAGGCAGGACCGAUUCUCACCCGCUAACCCUUUCCAGUUAGAAGAGAGGAGUGCCCGCAGAUGCACGAGGCGGGUACGUGUGCACAGCCACGUGCACGAACACUCGUGUCAGUGUCAGCUCCCCACUGGCCAGCACGUGUCCUGGGGGCCUGGGUGGCCUUCUCCCUCCGGCCUGGCCAUCACGCCAGCAGGGAGGGAACCGUCAGACUGGGGAUGCCGUUCCUCCCGGGGGUGAGGGGGUGGGGGGAAUGAAUAUUCAGCAAGGGGGAUGCAGCCCCGUGCACGCAUGGCUGGGCUGGGGAGGCACUGGCCAGGCCAGGGCCCCGGACUCGGGGUUAGCACGGACUCCCCACGGACCCCCACGAAUCUGACUGAGUAAGCAGGGUGAGUCCCUUCUCCCAGAUCCGGGACCUGGGAUGGUUCUUCAGCGCUUGGCACUUGAAUGCCACACAGCCACGCCCUCCAAACCCCACUCCUGCCUCAGGGUUUUGAUAUCUGCGAAGCCAAAGUCAGGCAAAGCUGACUCUGGAGGAGAAAAGGCAGAUGUUCCCCACCGCCCCCCCGCAUCCAGCAGGGAUCAAACAGGUAAACACGGCCUCCAACCAUCUCCCCAGUGCCCCCUCUCCCCCUGGAUAAACCUUUGAGAAAUUCCCGGACAAAAGGAUCGGGCCUCCCUUGCUUUCCUCUCUCACUCCCCCGCCCCCAGCCCAUCCUCAGGUCCAUUUAUCAAACAUAUACGCACAAAUUGUUGCCGAUAAAUAUUUAAUGUGCG
Orcinus orca (killer whale) is the source of this 3506-nucleotide RNA transcript. RefSeq lists it as uncharacterized. NCBI's taxonomy places the organism in Eukaryota, Metazoa, Chordata, Mammalia, Artiodactyla, Delphinidae. The transcript is spliced from 4 exons. The record is from RefSeq and is a predicted model, not a curated record.